This 705-nucleotide long non-coding RNA is filed under the name Fukomys damarensis (Damara mole-rat). RNAcentral's name for it is "lncRNA (ENSFDAG00000023214.1)". Lineage: Eukaryota; Metazoa; Chordata; Mammalia; Rodentia; Bathyergidae. The record is from RNAcentral.
UCACUGUAAAAAUGCCUGCUCUCUAAAAUAUCUCAGUGGGGUUUUUUUGUUGCUGUUAACAGGUAAUGGCACACAUAUAUUACAAGAGGCAGAAGUGCACUAUAUUUCUCGGAAAUCUUGUAACUCGGAGAGGAGUUACGCAGGAGUGAUUCCUAACACUUCAUUUUGUGCAGGUGAUGAAAAUGGAGACUUUGAUACUUGCAGGUUAUGGAUUUGGCUGUGGUCGAAGAUAUUUUCCUGGUAUCUACAGCGGGCCAUCGUUCUACCAAAAGUGGCUGACAGAUCAUUUCUCCCAGGCAAAAGCUGAAGGCAUAUUUGAUGUAGGUAUUUUACGUGGACAGAUCCUCAUGGCUUUAGGUUUUAUCAUCUUACUAGCAACAACAUAAAGAAAUUCUGAAGACAAAUUCAUUUUGUAUUGUGUCCUCUUUUAUAUUACACAAAAUGAAAGCCAUUUCUUCGUUUAGCAAUUAAUUACAUUAGAGUUCUCAUGUGAACAUUUUUUUUGGGGGGAGGACUGUGACAUUAGACAUACAGUUGUAAAUCUGGCACCAAAUCACAUCCUUGGUAGAAUUGGAUUGUUUUGUGUUAUAAUCAUAAUUUUGUAUUUGGAAUACUUUCCUAUGUAUAAAAUACUCAAUUAAAUAUGUACUCUAUGUGUAUAAAUAUCAAAUAAUAAAGAGUUUAAAAUGAAACGGUUCUUUGGUU